This 525-nucleotide ribosomal RNA is filed under the name uncultured bacterium. RNAcentral's name for it is "bacterial SSU rRNA". It matches the Rfam family "Bacterial small subunit ribosomal RNA", at positions 26 to 518 of the family's 1533-position model. The record is from RNAcentral.
UGGCUAGGACGAACGCUGGCGGCGUGCCUAAUACAUGCAAGUCGAACGGUCUUUCUAUGGAAGCUUGCUUCCACUGAGAAGAUAGUGGCGAACGGGUGAGUAACACGUGGGUAACCUGCCUAUAAGAGGGGGAUAACAUCCGGAAACGGGUGCUAAUACCGCAUAGUUUUCUUGAUCGCAUGAUCGGGAAAGGAAAGACGGCCUUUGUGCUGUCGCUUAUGGAUGGACCCGCGGCGUAUUAGUUAGUUGGUGAGGUAACGGCUCACCAAGACGAUGAUACGUAGCCGACCUGAGAGGGUGAUCGGCCACAUUGGGACUGAGACACGGCCCAAACUCCUACGGGAGGCAGCAGUAGGGAAUCUUCCGCAAUGGACGAAAGUCUGACGGAGCAACGCCGCGUGAGUGAAGAAGGUUUUUCCGGAUCGUAAAACUCUGUUGUCAGAGAAGAACAAGUUGGAGAGUAACUGCUCCAGCCUUGACGGUAUCUGACCAGAAAGCCACGGCUAACUACGUGCCAGCCGCAGC